GAUGAAGAACGUAGCGAAAUGCGAUACGUAAUGUGAAUUGCAGAAUUCAGUGAAUCAUCGAAUCUUUGAACGCACAUUGCGCCUGCCAGCACUCUGGCAGGCAUGCCUGUUCGAGCGUCAUUUCAACCAUCAAGCUCUAGGCUUGCGUUGGAGCCCUGCGGCUGCCGCAGGCCCCUAAAAGCAGUGGCGGGCUCGCUAUCACACCGAGUGCAGUAGAUUACUCUUCGCUCAGGGCGUGUGGCGGGUUCCAGCCGUGAAACCCCCUACUUCUCAAGGUUGACCUCGGAUCAGGUAGGAAUACCCGCUGAACUUAAGCAUAUCAAUAAGCGGAGGA
Molecule: unclassified non-coding RNA, 334 nt
Filed under: soil metagenome
Description: partial contains 5.8S ribosomal RNA, internal transcribed spacer 2, and large subunit ribosomal RNA
Rfam family: 5.8S ribosomal RNA (bases 1-120)
Source: RNAcentral